GGUGCGCGGUGAUUCCUGGUGUUCUUGCGUGGGCUUGGUUCUUGGCUUUCUCCCGCUGGUGUUCUUCCUGGCGUUCUUCCGCUGGUGUUCUGUUGGUGUUCUCCCUGAUGUGUCGUCUCUCUUUCUUCUUGAGUUCCUGAUGGAUGAAGACUUUUGGUUGGUGUUCUACCUUUCUUCUUCCUUCUCGAUUUCACAGAUGCCCUGUGCUGAUGACCGAACGCUUCUUCAGUUGGUAAAGAGGUAUUCAUCUUGAUUUUUUUUGUCGAGGAUUGAGAAAGGUAUUUUCUCCUCAGGUAUUCUCUUACCUUUG
Molecule: long non-coding RNA, 310 nt
Filed under: Elaeis guineensis (African oil palm)
Lineage: Eukaryota; Viridiplantae; Streptophyta; Magnoliopsida; Arecales; Arecaceae
Description: long non-coding RNA (EGUI_LNC056413)
Source: RNAcentral